Long non-coding RNA from Dioscorea cayenensis subsp. rotundata (Guinea yam), 232 nucleotides. RefSeq lists it as uncharacterized. The record is from RefSeq and is a predicted model, not a curated record. The transcript is spliced from 3 exons. Lineage: Eukaryota; Viridiplantae; Streptophyta; Magnoliopsida; Dioscoreales; Dioscoreaceae.
CUCGGCAGACAACUCCUCAUUUGGUAGCAAUGAGAUUCUUAGCUGCAGUUAAGGAGUCUUCCGAGCCUCACAUUAAUAUGUCAUUUUUCAUCAAUUAUAAUCCUGAAGAUAUUCUAAGACAGGCGAAAGAAUCAACACUCCGAUACGAAAAUGGUACUCCAAUUUCGGUUCUUGAUGGAGUGCUGGUUGCUGUUAAAGAUGAGAUUGAUUGCAUGUCUUAUCCAACUACUGG